Molecule: unclassified non-coding RNA, 221 nt
Filed under: Hevea brasiliensis (rubber tree)
Lineage: Eukaryota; Viridiplantae; Streptophyta; Magnoliopsida; Malpighiales; Euphorbiaceae
Source: RNAcentral
UCUUGCUCGACUUCUCCUUGCGGUCUAUGCUAGCUCUGGAUUUUUCUCUUUGAUCUGUGCUUAUUCUAGGCUCUCUCUUCUCUGUGCUUAGCCUAGAUUUCUCCCUCUGAUCUGUGCUCGACCGGGGUCUACAAUCUGUACUGCUUCGAGGUUUAUCUAUUUGGUUUAUGCUAAGAGCAGAUACAUUUCUAAAACUAGUUGAUUUCUCAAUAGCUGAUAUG